RNAcentral lists this long non-coding RNA (577 nucleotides) under Citrus sinensis (sweet orange). Its description in RNAcentral is "long non-coding RNA (CSIN_LNC000069)". Lineage: Eukaryota; Viridiplantae; Streptophyta; Magnoliopsida; Sapindales; Rutaceae. The record is from RNAcentral.
AGCUACAGCACUUUUAUUAGGCUCAGCAAUAGACUGGACUUCGUCAUUGAAGUUGCGAAGCAGGACUCUGCUGCCAUCUACAGAGAACUGCAGAGCCGCACCGGAUGAGACCACGGGGUCUUCGCGUCGAGCAGUCCAUACAACAAUGGUGUUAUUUGUUGGGCUGCUGCUGCCAACAAUCCAUAUUCCAACCCUGAAACCAUUGCCACUCGGGUAAAAUCCGAAAGCAAAACGGCCAGAAGCAGAAAGCCAGAAAUUGGAAUUGAGUUUGUGUAAAGAAUGGAGCCAGGGGUUAUGUUUUUAUUUGACUGUGGGGAUUGAGCUUUCGAUUUUGAGAGCAGAUAGACGAUUAAGAGAAAAAUAUAGAUUCUUUUUGCCAUUCGAUUGAGUUAUUAUUUUGGUAGUUAGUUUAUUUUUUUGCCAAUAAGAGUGAGGUUUUAUAAUGAAGAUCAUGGAGUUUUCUGCACCUUCCAUUUUUCUUUCAAGAUCUCUUAUCUACUCAAUAAUGGAUGUGGGAAAAAAAAUGAGGUGUAAAUUACCGCUGUUAAGUCUUGUUCUUUGUUUUAUUUAACACGGC